Long non-coding RNA from Lepus europaeus (European hare), 995 nucleotides. RefSeq lists it as uncharacterized. The record is from RefSeq and is a predicted model, not a curated record. Lineage: Eukaryota; Metazoa; Chordata; Mammalia; Lagomorpha; Leporidae. The transcript has 3 exons.
AUCAGGAGCAAACCCUGCCCAGACUCAAGGCAGCAGUUCCGUCUACCUUCUCUCUGACCUCACUCUGCAAAGACAAGAUCCCAGGAGCAAGUGGACCAGCCCGGACCCUCGUGUGGACAAGGGCCGGUUCCCUCCUUCCCACUGGCUGCUGCACCUGAACAGACCCUCAAAGUCAAGGUGAGAAGUGGUGCUGGACAGCUGGACGAGGGGAGUCAGCACAAAGAUUUUUUUCCAGGAGCUACAGAGUUGCUCGGCAGUGUCCAAUCCGAUGCCUGCCAGCUCAGGACUCAAAGGGAGGAGCCACAUCUCCUCUGAACAGGUGGACACACAGAAAGAUGACACGGGCUCCGGGCCCGUCCCCAGCCCCUCUGCAGGGGGCCGGCACUGUGGUGUAGCAGGUAAAGCUGCCGCCCAGUGCCGGCAUCCCACAUGGACUCCAGUUCACAUCCCGGCUGCUCCACUUCGAUCCAGCUCUCUGCUAUGGCCUGGAAAAGCAGUAGAAGAUGGCCCAAGUCUUUGGACCCCUGCCCCUGCAUGGGAGACCCGGAAGAAGCUCCUGGCUCCUGGCUCCUGACUUCGGAUCGGCGCAGCUCCAGCCGUUGCAGCCAACUGGGGAGUGAACCAGUGGAUGGAAGACCUCUCUCUCUCUCUCCCUCUCCUCUCUCUCUGUGUAACUCUGACUUUCAAAUAAAUAAAUAAAUCUUUUUAAAAAUGGUUAUGUGGGGGCCGGUGUUGUGGUGCAGCAUGUUAAGCUGCCGCCUGAGACACUUGCAUCCCAUAUGGUCGCUGGUUCAAGUCCCGGCUGCUCCACUUCUGACCCAGCUCUCUGCUAUGGCCUGGGAAAGCAGUAGAAGAUGGCCCAAGUCCUUGGGUCCCUGCACCCACAUGGGAGACCUGGAAGAAGCUCCUGGCUCUGGAUUGGCUCAGCUCCGGCCGUUGCGGCCAUUUGGGGGAAUGAACCAGCAGAUGGAAGACCACUCUCUCUCUGCCUCUGC